UUUGUCUAGUGACAGAAAGUAGAUCAGUGGUUGAGGUACUGGGGGCAGAGGAGAGGAUCUUUUGGUAGUAAUGGAGAUGUUCUGUAUCUUGAUCAAGAUUGUGGUUUUGACAAAUAUAUACAUGUGUCAAAAUUUACCAACUUUUAUACUUUAAUGGAUGUAGUUUAUUGUACCUAAAUAAACCUCAAUAAAAUUUUAUUUAGAGACACACCGAGAGAGAAAACACAAGCAGGGG
Molecule: long non-coding RNA, 235 nt
Organism: Enhydra lutris kenyoni (northern sea otter)
Lineage: Eukaryota; Metazoa; Chordata; Mammalia; Carnivora; Mustelidae
Exons: 3
Source: RefSeq, a predicted model, not a curated record